Molecule: ribosomal RNA, 253 nt
Filed under: uncultured bacterium
Lineage: Bacteria
Description: partial 16S ribosomal RNA
Rfam family: Bacterial small subunit ribosomal RNA
Source: RNAcentral
UACAGAGGGGGCAAGCGUUAUUCGGAAUUAUUGGGCGUAAAGGGCGCGUAGGCGGCUUGGCAAGUGGAUGGUGAAAUCCUGGAGCUCAACUCCAGAACUGCCUUUAAGACUGCUUCGCUUGAAUCCAGGAGAGGUGAGUGGAAUUCCGAGUGUAGAGGUGAAAUUCGUAGAUAUUCGGAAGAACACCAGUGGCGAAGGCGGCUCACUGGACUGGUAUUGACGCUGAGGUGCGAAAGCGUGGGGAGCAAACAGG